Molecule: ribosomal RNA, 1301 nt
Filed under: Odontocheila batesii
Lineage: Eukaryota; Metazoa; Arthropoda; Insecta; Coleoptera; Carabidae
Description: 16S ribosomal RNA
Rfam family: Archaeal large subunit ribosomal RNA (bases 1058-1216)
Source: RNAcentral
UAAUAAAAGAAUUAUUAAUUUUGUUUGUUUAUUUAUUUUAUUAAAAGCAAUUUUAUUAAUAUAAAUUUUAGUAUGUUAUACAGAAAAGAAAAAUAUAAUAAUAGUGAAUUAGUAUUGUAAAAGAAUGUUAUGUGGUUAAUUUAUUUUUGUAAAAGAAGAAUUUAUUUUUUGUACCUUGUGUAUCAGGGUUGAUUAAUUAAGAUUUAUAUAGUUAAAUUUCUCGAAUUGGAAGGAGCUAUUUAUUAAUAAUUUUUAUCGUGAUAAUGAUAUAUUUAAUUAAUAAAUUGAAGUUAAAAGUUAUUCGGCUUUCAAAAUAUCUAGUUCACUUAGAAAUAAAUUUAAUUUAGGCUUUAAGGUUAUUAUAAAUUGAUUUAUUAAUAUAAAUAUUUUAAAGCUAAUAGUAAUAGGGAUAAGCUUGUUAUUAAAAAUCUAUAAUUUAGUAUUUGUGAAUGAAUUUGUAAGUUUAGAAAUAUCUAUCAAUUUAGUUUGUUAUAAUUAAUUUAUUAUUUAGGAAUAUUUUAUAAUUAUUUAGGUUUAUAUAAGUGUUUAUUUAUAAAUAAUUAAUAUUUAGUAAUAAUGAUUAAAUUAGUAUAUUAUUAUAUAUGAAUAAUUUUUUAUAAAAGAUUAUUUAGAGGAAUUCGGCAAAAAUUUUAUUCGCCUGUUUAACAAAAACAUGUCCUUUUGAAUUUAUUAAAGGUCUAACCUGCCCAAUGAAGUUUAAAUGGCCGCAGUAUUUUGACUGUGCAAAGGUAGCAUAAUCAUUAGUUUUUUAAUUAAAAGCUUGUAUGAAGGGUUGGACGAGAUAAAAUCUGUCUUUAUUUAAUUUUAAUUAGAAUUUAACUUUUAAGUUAAAAGGCUUAAAUGUUUAUAAAAGACGAGAAGACCCUAUAGAUCUUUAUUUAGUUAAUAUUUUAAUAAUUUAGGGUUUAGUUAAUUUGAAGUUUUAAUUAAAUUUUAUUGGGGUAAUAUAAAGAUUAAUAUAAUUCUUUUUAUUAAAGCCAUUGAUUUAUGAAUAGAUGAUCCAUUAUUAUUGAUUAUAAGAUUAAGUUACCUUAGGGAUAACAGCGUAAUUUUUUUGGAGAGCUCUUAUCGAUAAGAAAGUUUGCGACCUCGAUGUUGGAUUAAAAAUUAUCUUGGGUGUAGAAGUUCAAGAUUUUGGUCUGUUCGACCAUUAAAUUUUUACAUGAUCUGAGUUCAGACCGGCGUGAGCCAGGUCGGUUUCUAUCUUUAUUUAAUUUAUAUAUUUUAGUACGAAAGGACCAUAUAUGUAAUAUAAUUAUAUUUUAUUAUUGAGUAUCAAU